GUGAAUUUUAAGAUAUUUGGAUUGUUUCUCAAUUUUUAAAAGUUAAAUAGUAAGAAAACAACAAUCCAAUUAGAAAAAUACAAAGACAUCAAAUGACCAAAUUCACCAAGGAGAAGAUACAGAUGGCAAAAUAAAUGUAUGAAGAUACUCAAUAUAAUUAUUUACAGAGAAAAGCAAGUGAAAAGCCACAAUGACAUAUCACUACAAACUUAUAAGAAUUACUAAAAUAAAUCAGUAACAAUACUAACUGCCGAUGAAGAUGAAAAAAAAUUGGAUCACUCAUACAUGGCUGGUGAGAAUGCAAAAUAGCACCACCCCUUUGGAAAAUAAUUGGACAGUUUCUUACAAAAUGGAACAUGCUGCUAGUGUAUGACCUAGUAGUUGUACUUCUUAUGUUUAACUUCCUAGAUGCAUGGAUAUUUAUAUCAGCUUGAUUCAUAAUAGCCCCACAGUAGAAACAACCCAGAUGCCUUUCAAUGGAUUUGCAAGGAAUUAUACCCAUACAAUGGAGUACCAUUCAACAAUAAUAAGAAGUGGAUUAUGGACACAUGCAACAACCUGCAUACAUCUCCAGAGAAUUAUGAUGAGUAAAAAAAAAAAGAAAGAAAAACAAUCCCAAAUGGUUACAUACUUUGUGAUUCCAAGCAUAUAAUUCUUUUUGAAAAGGUGAAAUUGCACAAAUAAGAAGCAUGUUCGUAGUUGCUGGGGACUGGAGAGAGGGUACAGGUAGGAAGGAACACAUAAAAGUGCAACAUGAUUGAUCUUGGUAAUGAUGAAAAUGUUCUGCAUCUUCACUGUAUCAAUGUCCUGAUUGUGAUAUUGUACUGCACCUGUACUUUUACAUGAUGUUCUCAGUAGGAAAACUAGGUAAAACUUACAUGCAAUCUAUGAUCAUUUCUUACAAUUGUAUGUGGAUCUACAAAUAUCUCAAAUAGAAAGAUUUUUUUACAGUAACAUAAAUUCUUUGUAUUUAUUUUUUUUUAAAGAGAGAGAGAAU
This 997-nucleotide long non-coding RNA is filed under the name Marmota monax (woodchuck). The record is from RNAcentral. Lineage: Eukaryota; Metazoa; Chordata; Mammalia; Rodentia; Sciuridae.